Molecule: long non-coding RNA, 310 nt
Organism: Perognathus longimembris pacificus (Pacific pocket mouse)
Lineage: Eukaryota; Metazoa; Chordata; Mammalia; Rodentia; Heteromyidae
Exons: 2
Source: RefSeq, a predicted model, not a curated record
UUGGUGCUCGGUUCCUGGCCAUUCGCUUUCGUCUCACCUUUGCCUCCACAUCAAAGCAGUAUGUCUUCCAUACAACUAAUAAAUCAUGGCAACUUUUGAACUGCACUGAAACUCAGUUAAUCUCACUGAGAUUAAUCUCUCUGAGCCAUCUCUUCAACUGUGACAGAACUAUAAGUCCAAAGAAGCAAAUGCUAACCAUACAUAGAGCAAUGACUCCAAAGAAGUAUAGCACAAUGUACUAAUUCUGAGGUAAAAGGAUUAUGGGUACUUCUAUUUUCUACAAUUUCUACAUUUUACUUUAUGACAAUUU